GGAUGUGAGGGCGAUCUGGCUGUAACAUCUGUCACCCUAUUGAUUGCCAACAUUGAUUCGGCUGAUCUGGAUGGCUAGAAAGAUGUCCUGUUCCUCCCUCACCACUCCAUGCACAUCCUUCCUGAAGCUACAAGCUCUGUCAAAGAGGAUGACCUUCCAUGAAUGGAGAUGAACUGUUAUUCUGUUCUGGAUAUACGAGUAGCUGCACUCCACUGCUAGAACCUCCAAGUAAUCUCUCAAAAUAUGUCCUCUUGAUUUCCUAGUAUACGAGGUUUGCCUGGGAAAAUAUCAUUUGG
Molecule: small nuclear RNA, 296 nt
Filed under: Sorex araneus (European shrew)
Lineage: Eukaryota; Metazoa; Chordata; Mammalia; Eulipotyphla; Soricidae
Description: 7SK RNA (ENSSARG00000018381.1)
Rfam family: 7SK RNA
About the family: 7SK was discovered as an abundant small nuclear RNA in the mid-70s but a possible function has only recently been suggested.
Source: RNAcentral